This 25-nucleotide unclassified non-coding RNA is filed under the name Mus musculus (house mouse). Its description in RNAcentral is "oocyte_clustered_small_RNA13138". The record is from RNAcentral. Lineage: Eukaryota; Metazoa; Chordata; Mammalia; Rodentia; Muridae.
UCCUAGGCAAAUGGAUGGACCAUGA